CGCUCUCCUAGGCAAGUACGUGUGACUUCGGCGGUCUUUCCAUUCCGCCUACGUUUCCCCAGCUUCAUUUCUACAGCUGUUCACCAAAAAGCAGCAGAAAAUAUUUCCGUCCUGUAUGGAAAAGGAGAAGAGAUGACAACGAGGAGGACAACCAAGAUGACCCUCAUUCAAAGAGGAAUAAGAAGGACCAGGCCUUCCAGGACCCUCACGCUAUAGAGAGCAAUGGAAAGUGGAAAACAUGAUAUGGCCGACAUGCAGCUGAUUCUUCACUGUGCAUUCCUCACUGAGAGCAAGGGAUGCCUUCCCAGAAGCCAGCAGGCUCUGUUUGUACAGAGCUGCUUCUGAGACAGACUCCUGUCUUCAGUCCAAUGGAGAGAAAGCAGAGCCUCCCUCGCAGUUCACUCUGGAAAGGUCUCGUAUCCUUUCCCUUUGUCCUCCAUCUAGUUCUGACCACCUUUGUGCAAGAUGAUGAUUGGUUCUCCAGAGAUCCUGUUUUGGCGAGGAAGGGGCUAAGCAGAAGGUCAGAGGGGGACAAGUGAGGACAAUGGAACUUGUAAUGAGCCAAUCUGCCUGAAAAAGAAUCCUGCUGACAGACACGUCCAGAUUCCAGUGCCCGAGAAACCACUACAAGGAUGUUCCACCUUCCUUCCACCUCAUUUAAGCCUUCAUCUCUGGGAGAUCAGCUGUCUGUCUUCCCUCAAGGCCACUCUCCAUCCUUCACCAUCCCGUAGCAGUUAGUCCUGAAUCAGAGUUUGACAUCCAGGCAACUUGGACUUGUUCCAGAGACAAUGAGACAUGGUCUCCUACAAUCAGAAUGGACAAAGAGCAGCAGUCAGAGAAUUCGAGAUCACCCCUGAAGAAAACAAAACUAGUUAAAAUCGAGAAAAAGAAACGUAUUGGGUCUCCCUUGCCUCAGCAAGCUGAAAAGAAAAGAAAAUCAUCUUCCCCUAGAGUUGCUGAAGAGGAGAUGUUCAAAUGUGAAUGCCGCUACUGCCAAGCUUGUAUGGGGACUACGUCCGGAGUCUCUGUGGGGACCAGGACAGAAGCAACCUCUCAUUCACCCUUCUCAGAAAAACUGAUACAAGACUUCCAUAACCUGACACUCAACCCUCGUUCCACCCAGCCCCCUGUUCUGCCAGAAGCAAUGCAGACAAGUGAAAACAAAUUGAAUUUUCAGCGGAAAAACAAAAAGGGGUUUCAAAAGGUUCUCCCCAAAUGGACAGAAUAACUUUGGCAUUGUCAUCCUCAUGUGAAGAAGAUCAGAACCUACACUAUCGUGCGUUUCAACAUCACCAAUCCCUAGGGUGAUAUGGUUUUGGUUGCAUGGUCAGUAGGAGUAUCAGCAUCCAGCCUGGUGACAAUAAUACUUUCAGAUGACAAGUUUCAAGUCUAUCCCACAAAUAUAGCUGCCUUUUUCUUAGUAGUUUUGACAUCCUCCCUGGGGCAUUCUGGGAAGAGAUACUCUUUGGCAAGGGCCACCACACAGCAGUAGUUCUAUACUCCCAAUGAUGCUGUUUCCAAAACUUGAACAGGUUUUGAC
Microtus oregoni (creeping vole) is the source of this 1540-nucleotide RNA transcript. It is a transcript of the gene named protein FAM104A-like, with no coding region annotated. Lineage: Eukaryota; Metazoa; Chordata; Mammalia; Rodentia; Cricetidae. The record is from RefSeq and is a predicted model, not a curated record. The transcript is spliced from 6 exons.